GACGAACGCUGGCGGCGUGCCUAAUACAUGCAAGUAGAACGCUGAAGGAGGAGCUUGCUCUUCUGGAUGAGUUGCGAACGGGUGAGUAACGCGUAGGUAACCUGCCUGGUAGCGGGGGAUAACUAUUGGAAACGAUAGCUAAUACCCCAUAAGAGUAUAUGUUGCAUGACAUUUACUUAAAAGGUGCAAUUGCAUCACUACCAGAUGGACCUGCGUUGUAUUAGCUAGUUGGUGGGGUAACGGCUUACCAAGGCGACGAUACAUAGCCGACCUGAGAGGGGGAUCGGCCACACUGGGACUGAGACACGGCCCAGACUCCUACGGGAGGCAGCAGUAGGGAAUCUUCGGCAAUGGACGGAAGUCUGAACGAGCAACGCCGCGUGAGGGAAGAAGGUUUUCGGAUCGUAAAGCUCUGUUGUAAGAGAAGAACGAGUGUGAGAGUGGAAAGUUCACACUGUGACGGUAUCUUACCAGAAAGGGACGGCUAACUACGUG
RNAcentral lists this ribosomal RNA (495 nucleotides) under uncultured bacterium. Its description in RNAcentral is "partial 16S ribosomal RNA". It matches the Rfam family "Bacterial small subunit ribosomal RNA", at positions 28 to 507 of the family's 1533-position model. The record is from RNAcentral.